UGUGUCAGCAGCCGCGGUAAUACGUAGGUGGCGAGCGUUGUCCGGAAUUACUGGGUGUAAAGGGCGUGUAGGCGGGGGUGCAAGUCAGAUGUGAAAGACCAUGGCUCAACUGUGGGGGUGCAUCUGAAACUGUGUCUCUUGAGUGCUGGAGAGGGAAGCGGAAUUCCUAGUGUAGCGGUGAAAUGCGUAGAUAUUAGGAGGAACACCGGUGGCGAAGGCGGCUUCCUGGACAGCAACUGACGCUGAGGCGCGAAAGCGUGGGUAGCGAACAGGAUUAGAUACCCUGGUAGUCCACGCCGUAAACGAUGGAUACUAGGUGUAGGAGGUAUCGACCCCUUCUGUGCCGCAGUAAACACAAUAAGUAUCCCACCUGGGGAGUACGGUUGCAAGACUGAAACUCAAAGGAAUUGACGGGGGCCCGCACAAGCAGUGGAGUAUGUGGUUUAAUUCGAUGCAACGCGAAGAACCUUACCAGGUCUUGACAUCCGACUAACGGAGCAGAAAUGCACCGGUGCCCGCAAGGGAAAGUCGAGACAGGUGGUGCAUGGUUGUCGUCAGCUCGUGUCGUGAGAUGUUGGGUUAAGUCCCGCAACGAGCGCAACCCUUGCCUUUAGUUGCCAUCAUUAAGUUGGGGACUCUAAAGGGACUGCCGGUGACAAAUCGGAGGAAGGUGGGGAUGACGUCAAAUCAUCAUGCCCCUUAUGAUCUGGGCUACACACGUGCUACAAUGGGUGGUACAGAGGGAAGCGAAGCCGUGAGGCGGAGCGAAUCCCAGAAAGCCACUCUCAGUUCGGAUUGCAGGCUGCAACUCGCCUGCAUGAAGUCGGAAUCGCUAGUAAUCGCAGGUCAGCAUACUGCGGUGAAUACGUUCCCGGGCCUUGUACACACCGCCCGUCACACCACGAAAGUUCGCAACACCCGAAGCCGGUGGCCUAACCGCAAGGAGGGAGCCGUCGAAGGUGGGGCGGAUGAUUGGGGUGAAGUCGUAACAAGGUAGCCA
This 1000-nucleotide ribosomal RNA is filed under the name uncultured bacterium. RNAcentral's name for it is "bacterial SSU rRNA". It matches the Rfam family "Bacterial small subunit ribosomal RNA", at positions 504 to 1502 of the family's 1533-position model. The record is from RNAcentral.